CUAGUCCCUUGAAAUAUGCUUCCUCUCAGGAUAUCUUUUAGUAAAGUGAAGUAUGUUCUGAGAGCUGAUUAAGAGUCUUUCAAAAUGCUCCCCUUUACAAAGUCUGUGACUCCUCUGCUGGGCCCGGGAUAAGAGAGGAAAGCUCUGCUCACAUGUUUCUAGCUCCUGACUCUGAGGGACUGGGAAAUAGGACAGUAUGAAGGAUGCCAUGGGAGCAAGGAGCAUACUUGAACCCCCAGCAGCUAGCACAGUACCCAGCAUAUAGUAAGCUCCUGGUAAGUGUUUGUUGAUUGAGAAAAUGAGCCAAGAAGCCUGCAAGUUUUGCCUAUGGAGAGCCUAGCAAAAUUGUUAUUUAUGGCUGGUGAACAAAGCAAUGUCUGGAACUCUCCCUUAAAAGGACUGGUUGCAGAAUUUUAACUUGUAUGAUUUAUUUUUUUCACUUUAAAAAAAAUAAUGAAAUAGAACAUAGAAAAAGAAAAGUGCACAAAACAUAUGUGGAUGAUUUAAUUAAUACAGAUAAAGCAAACACUCUUGUAACCACCAGCCGAGUGAAGAAACAGAAUAUUAUCACCACUGCAAAAGCCCCCUGUGCCUCUUCCUCCGGAGCUGAGUCAUUAUUAUUUAGCCUAAUCAUUUCCCUGCUUUUCUUUAUAGUCUUACAACCCAUGUAUUUAAAACCUAAAAAAUAUGGUUGUGUUUUGCCUGUUUUUGAAUGAAUGGAAGUACAUCGAUGUAUUCUUUUGCGUUUUCAUUCUUUUGCUCAGUGUGACGUUUGAGAGAAUCUGCCGUGUUUUCACAGCUGUAGUUUGGUCAUUUUGUUGCUGCGUUGUAUGAACCACACUUUAUUCAUACAUCCUCUCGUUAAUGGACGUUUGGAUUUUGUUCCGGUCUUUGGCAGCCCACCUGGGUUUUCUAGCCAACUUUGAGCUCUCACUUCUGGUUGACACUUGCUGAAGCCCUCUUG
Molecule: long non-coding RNA, 964 nt
Filed under: Equus caballus (horse)
Lineage: Eukaryota; Metazoa; Chordata; Mammalia; Perissodactyla; Equidae
Description: lncRNA (ENSECAG00000059213.1)
Source: RNAcentral